Molecule: RNA transcript, 4566 nt
Organism: Neofelis nebulosa (Clouded leopard)
Lineage: Eukaryota; Metazoa; Chordata; Mammalia; Carnivora; Felidae
Gene: SLC44A3
Gene name: solute carrier family 44 member 3
Exons: 16
Source: RefSeq, a predicted model, not a curated record
GUGGCUGAGCCGGGGCCUCCGCGCUUCGGUCGGCGAGAUGGGCAUCCCGGGAACCACCACCGCGCGGGUGGUGGACGCCGAGGGCCUGGGAACACGGCGGCCCUCCCGCUGACAGGUGACAGACCCGGGCGGGCCCGGAGCCGCUCCGGUGACGCCGAGGGCCAAGCUCGAGGCUCGCGGAGGCGGCCGCGGGGCGGCGCUGCGCCCCUUCCGGCUGCUGGGCCUUCUGGCCGCAGGCUCCUCUGCCGCGGGGCGCUUCGUGGGCUCCCAGUCUUCGGCCCGGCUCCGGGGCACAGGAUGCAGUGUCCCGGCGCCGAGUACCUGGUUUCUGCAGAGAGAACCCCCCGGAAAAGAGAGUGGAGACCUCAGAUUUAUAGGAAGUGCACAGAUACAACAUGGCUAUUCCUCUUCUUUCUCUUUUGGACUGGUUUGCUGUUCAUCAUGGGCUACUCGAUGGUGGCAGGAGCCACGGGAAGACUCCUCUUUGGCUAUGACAGCUUUGGCAACGUGUGUGGCAAGAAGAACUCCCCUGUAGAAGGGGCCCCUCUUUCAGGGCAGGACAUGACCCUGAAAAGACACGUAUUCUUUAUGAAUUCCUGCAACCCGGAAGUCAAGGACGUGAGGCUCAGUUCCACCAUCCUGUGCGUGUCGAGCUGUCCUGAAGAGCAGCUUGAUACCCUGGAAGAGGUCCAGCUCUUUGCAGACAAGAAUGGGUCCUUCCUGUGUGUUUACAGUUUGAAUUCCAUCAACUACACCCAGAAUCCAAAUGCAGACUCAUUGUGUCCCAGGCUGCCAGUUCCUCCGAGCAAGUCUUUCCCCUUGUUUAACAGAUGCGUUCCUCAAACACCCGAGUGCUAUUCCUUGUUUGCAUCUGUUUUGAUAAAUGAUGUUGACACCCUCCAUCAAAUUCUAAGUGGAAUAAUGUCAGGAAGAGACACAAUCCUUGGUCUGUGUAUCCUCGCAUUAGCCUUGUCUUUGGCCAUGAUGUUCACCUUCUGGUUCAUCACCACCCUUCUGGUUCACAUUUUCAUUGCACUGAUUAUUUCGGGACUGCUGUUUGUCUGUGGUGUCUUAUGGUGGCUGUAUUACGACUAUACCCAUGACCUCAGCAUAGAAUUGGACACAGAAAGGGAAAAUAUGAAGUGUUUGCUGGGGUUUGCUCUUGUAUCUACAGUAAUCACGGCAGUUCUGCUCAGCUUGAUUUUUGUCUUCAGAAAAAGAAUAAAAUUGACAGUCGAACUUUUCCAAGUCAUUAAUAAAGCCAUCAGCAACUCUCCAUUCCUGCUGUUCCAACCACUAUGGACUUUUGCCAUCCUCAUUUUCUUCUGGGUCCUCUGGGUGGCCGUGCUGCUGAGCCUGGGAACUGCAGGAGCUGCACAGGUUAUUGAAGGUGGCCAAGUGGAAUAUAAGCCUAUUUUAGGCAUUCGGUAUAUGUGGUGGUACCAUUUGAUUGGCCUCAUCUGGACUAGCGAAUUCAUCCUUGCGUGCCAGCAAAUGACUGUAGCCGGCGCACUUGUUACUUGCUAUUUCAACAGAAAUAAAAAUGACCCUCCUGAUCGCCCAAUCCUUUGGUCUCUCUCCAUUCUUUUCUGCUACCAUCAAGGAACAGCCAUAAAAGGGUCAUUUUUAAUCACUGUGGCAAGGAUUCCAAGAACCAUUCUCAAGUACAUUUACAACACUCUGAAAGACAAGCAUAAUGCAUGGUCGACGUACAUGUUCAGAUGCUGCUUCUGCUGUUUCUGGUGUCUUGACAAAUGCCUAUGUCAUCUCAACCAGAAUGCAUAUGCUGCAACUGCCAUUAAUGGGACAGAUUUUUGUACAUCAGCAAAAGAUGCACUCAAACUCUUAUCCAAGAAUUCAAGUCAUUUCACAUCUGUUAACUGCUUUGGAGACUUCAUAAUUUUUCUAGGAAAGGUGUUGGUGAUGUGUCUCACUGUUUUUGGAGGACUGAUGGCAUUUAACUACAACCGUGCCCUCCAGGUGUGGGCAGUUCCUCUGCUGCUGGUUGCUUUUUUUGCCUACUUUGUAGCCCAUAGUUUCUUAUCUGUGUUUGAAACUGUGCUGGAUGCACUCUUCCUGUGUUUUGCUGUUGAUCUGGAAACAAAUGAUGGAUCGUCGGAAAAGCCCUACUUUAUGGACCAAGAGUUUUUGAGUUUUGUAAAAAGGAUCAACAAGUUAAAAGACACGAGGGCACAGGGGGAGGAGAACUCACUAAGGAACGAGGAGGGAACAGAACUCCAGCCCGUUGUGUGAUAGGUGCCCAUUAGAGUGUUGCCCCUGGAAAGUGUCCUUCUUCUAAGAGCCAUUCACAGAAUAAAUGGUUUCUCAUAUGCAAAAUGGAGAAAAUACCACCUACUUUGGAUUUAGGAGAGGACUCAACAUAAGCAAUGUAAAAAGCACAGCGUAAUGUGGGCACCCUGGAGAGUUACAUGUGAGUACCUAUUAUGACCACAUACACUCUCCAGGCCAUCCAUUUCAGAAGCUCAUCACACAUUCAGCAGAACUUAUGCCGAGCAGUCCUUAAGGCCUGAAAUCUCAAAGAGCCAGCCACAAGUACAGUAACUCAUUUCUCCAUUUAUGCCAAGCAGACAGUUCCAGGUUUAACUGGUAAAAAAGCAAACUUGAAUGGCACCUAUACGAGACAAUGCCACAUGUGGCAGGACAUCUCAACUUUAGGUCACAAGGAGAAAGCUUUUUCAAACCCUAUCCCCCACUCCUGUUGGAUGUGAGCCCUGCCUGCUCUCCAGUGGUUAUGGGAACCUCCCUAUGAGGGGCUGAUCUAUUUUUAACAAGGAAAUACUUCCAUCUUGCAUGGUGUUAGAAUGCUGGCAUUCUCACCAUGCUAUAGCCCCACCUAACUCCUCCUUAGAACACCAGAUCAUUUUACCUACCAAGUUUCAGAGGCAUUAGAAGGAGCAAUUUACUUGGAUCUGGAGCAAGAAAUAAACUUGCUAUAAUAAACGUAUCUCUUUUCUUCUGGUUAGACGGAAAGACCAGCUGUUCUGACUGCCAACACACCAUACUUGUGUUCCUACAGAAAGGUCCUCUGAUUCUUUUGCUUUCUCAGCAAAACCAACUUUCCUGAAGGAAUAUACUUUAAAUAUACCAUACAAAAAAUACGUCCUUUGAACUUAGUAAGUUAAGUGUGGGAUGCCUGGGUGGCUCGGUUAAGCAUCCAACUUCAGCUUGGGUCAGGAUCUCACUGUUCCUGACUUCAAGCCCCACAUCAGGCUUCCUGCUGUCAGCACAGAGCCCUAUGUCCCCCCCUCUUGCUCCCUCUCUAAAAAUUAAACAUUAAAAAAAGAGUAAGUUAAGUGCUAAUUUAAAUGAUCCUUCUCUACUCUUUGCUCCAAGUAUAAAAAGGCACUGCUUACCUGGCUGGCUCCUUUGUUGGUGCCCAUCUGCAGACUAAUUGUGGUCUGGUCAAAAGGUUUGUCAGUUUGCAUUUUGGGAUCAUAAAGAUGCCUCCUGGUCCCAUAGGCCGUCAUACCUGCCUGGCUGGCGCACUUGUUGGUUCCCAUCUUUGAAGUUAAAAUUAGCAAUGAUUACCACAGGUCACCACCAUAUACGACAAGCAAAACUUUGUGUUCUACUAAAAAGACAGAGGGGCACAAUUGACAAGUCCCUUUUUGUGCUGAGGCUAGCUAGAUACAAAAUCUCCAUGCUUUCACAACUUUCAAGGUGCUCACUUUAUUAUUUUAAUUUUUUUUAACGUUUUUAAAUUUUUUUUGACACAGAGAGAGAUGGAGCAUGAACGGGGGAGGGUCAGAGAGAGAGGGAGACACAGAAUCCGAAGCAGGCUCUGAGCUGUCAGCACGGAGCCCGAUGCGGGGCUCGAACUCACAGACCAUGAGAUCAUGACCUGAGCCGAAGUCGGACGCUCAACUGAGCCACCCAGGCGCCCCCCCAAGGUGCUCACUUUAAAAAGAAAAAUCUCAAACAAGGUUUUAGAGGGCAGAAUUAUGAAUAAUUACCCCUGCUCCUCUUCUCCCUACUGUCUAUACAGCACAGAUAACCAAAUUAAGAGGUACCGCAUCAGCCACUUAAAGGGACAGAGGCACUCUGACUAGGCAGCAUGCUUUUCUACUCCAGGGGUUUGUAUAAAAAGUGACAGCAAAUGCCAGGUGUCUUCUCUGGCAGCUCAACAAGGGCUUCUUUCAAGUCUCAUUGAGAUCACCAGCAUCUUCAUGGGAAAAGGACCACAUUUUAUUCCUCCAACUCUCAUGUCACCGGAGAGAAAGAGUGAGGAAUGUGAACUCAACCAAAUUCAGAGGAACAAGAAUUCUUUUCUCCACUGAGAAUAUGGCUUUAAGGCCAACCGAUAUACCCAGUUCUAUUAGCUGGGGACACAUUUCUGAUGGGUCUUUUUCCUUAAAAAGGAAGGGAGGGAAAAAAAAUCAUUACAAUCCUACCACCCAGAUAUUAGCUGUAAACCUUUGUAUGUGUGUCCUUCUAGGCUUUAUCUUCUCUACCUGUGUAUAUAUUUAUCAAUACACAUGCAUGUAAAUAAAUAUACAUUCAAAAAUAGGCAUGUGCAUCUUUAAAGUAAAAUCGUGAUCGCACUGA